RNAcentral lists this ribosomal RNA (253 nucleotides) under uncultured bacterium. RNAcentral's name for it is "partial 16S ribosomal RNA". It matches the Rfam family "Bacterial small subunit ribosomal RNA", at positions 524 to 776 of the family's 1533-position model. The record is from RNAcentral.
UACAGAGGGUGCAAGCGUUAAUCGGAAUGACUGGGCGUAAAGAGCGCGUAGGCGGACACAUGUGUCGUAGGUGAAAUCCCCGGGCUUAACCUGGGAACUGCCUAUGAAACUAUGUGACUAGAAUAUAGGAGAGGGAAGUGGAAUUUCCGGUGUAGCGGUGAAAUGCGUAGAUAUCGGAAAGAACACCAGUGGCGAAGGCGGCUUUCUGGCCAAAUAUUGACGCUGAGGCGCGAAAGCGUGGGUAGCGAACAGG